RNAcentral lists this ribosomal RNA (497 nucleotides) under uncultured bacterium. RNAcentral describes it as "partial 16S ribosomal RNA". It matches the Rfam family "Bacterial small subunit ribosomal RNA", at positions 28 to 507 of the family's 1533-position model. The record is from RNAcentral.
GACGAACGCUGGCGGCGUGCCUAAUACAUGCAAGUUGAGCGCUGAAGGUUGGUACUUGUACCAACUGGAUGAGCAGCGAACGGGUGAGUAACGCGUGGGGAAUCUGCCUUUGAGCGGGGGACAACAUUUGGAAACGAAUGCUAAUACCGCAUAAAAACUUUAAACACAAGUUUUAAGUUUGAAAGAUGCAAUUGCAUCACUCAAAGAUGAUCCCGCGUUGUAUUAGCUAGUUGGUGAGGUAAAGGCUCACCAAGGCGAUGAUACAUAGCCGACCUGAGAGGGUGAUCGGCCACAGUGGGACGGAGACACGGCCCAAACUCCUACGGGAGGGAGCAGUAGGGGAUCUUCGGCAAUGGACGAAAGUCUGACCGAGCAACGCCGCGUGAGUGAAGAAGGUUUUCGGAUCGUAAAACUCUGUUGGUAGAGAAGAACGUUGGUGAGAGUGGAAAGCUCAUCAAGUGACGGUAACUACCCAGAAAGGGACGGCUAACUACGUG